CUAUUUCCCCCUCUCCCAUCUAGUCUGGAAAGACAUAAGAGGAUCGCUUUCUGUGGAUGACGACGUACCCUCUGGCGAGAGUGUUGAUGCGAAUAUUUGUUAAGGGUCACCUAUGUUAAGUACUGUCAUGAUUUUAGAUAUCUGAUAGGACCGCUAUGGUUGGUACAACCGUGGUUGUAAAUUAUACCAUAGUUUGGCCAGUUGAAAUUGUGUAUGAGCAAAUUGUUGUUAUCUGUAUCUGAUCUGGUCAUUCUAUAUAGGUAGUUGGAAAUCUGUAUUUGCCUUCAG
This 288-nucleotide long non-coding RNA is filed under the name Carica papaya (papaya). RNAcentral's name for it is "long non-coding RNA (CPAP_LNC014678)". Lineage: Eukaryota; Viridiplantae; Streptophyta; Magnoliopsida; Brassicales; Caricaceae. The record is from RNAcentral.